UACAGAGGUCCCAAGCGUUGUUCGGAAUUACUGGGCGUAAAGCGUGCGCAGGCGGUUCGUUAUGUCCGUUGUGAAAGCCCCGGGCUCAACCUGGGAAUGGCAAUGGAAACUGGCGGGCUAGAGUGUGGCAGAGGGGGGCGGAAUUCCGCGUGUAGCAGUGAAAUGCGUAGAGAUGCGGAGGAACACCGAUGGCGAAGGCAGCCCCCUGGGCUAGCACUGACGCUCAGGCACGAAAGCGUGGGGAGCAAACAGG
This 253-nucleotide ribosomal RNA is filed under the name uncultured bacterium. RNAcentral's name for it is "partial 16S ribosomal RNA". It matches the Rfam family "Bacterial small subunit ribosomal RNA", at positions 524 to 776 of the family's 1533-position model. The record is from RNAcentral.